CUAAAGUGUGGAAUACUGAGCAUAAUCUUUUAUUCCAUUUAAUUGGGUAAUUAAUGGUAGUUACCAAAAAAAAUGAGCGUUAGCGAAAUGAAAGAAGGAAAAAUCUUUGUACCGAGAGGGUUUGUAGGGUAAAAUGGGUAUAGUAUAUUUUUAGUAGUACCUUUUGCAUAAGGGUUCAACAAGAAAAAGGUGUGGUAAUGUAUUAUCCCGAAGUCGAAAGAGCUACCAAAGGAAACCAGCCUUUAGAGGGCUACAGAGAUCAUAGUUGUAUAUAUGUCUUAAGAAUAUUUGGUAGUGAUGAAAUGUCUGUCGAGUUCGACGAUACCUGGUUGGUCCAGAAAUAAAUUAAGUUUAGGGUUGCUAGUUUAAUCGGCAAUACUUAGUAUUCCCUGAAGAGCAGUGAGUAUUUUUCAAGAACGACGUUAAGUAAAAUAAUUGGCGCUAAUUAUAAUGUAGGUCUCAUAGCGGUCAUCAUAGGAGCGGAUUUGCAGCGCAAUUUUAGUUUGUUUUUAAAGAUUAGUUUUAGGUUUGGUCUUAAGGUGUAUGGGCUGGAGUGGCUGAACAGAAAGGUUACUUCCAUAAUGUUGUGAAAUAGUAGUUGUAGUAUAUAAAUUUUGGAAAAUGAUGUUUAUAUUUUUUUAAUCUAGGCUAAGGAACUCGGCAAAUUUCCCUUCCGACUGUUUACUAAAAACAUAGCGUCUAGAAGAAGAUUAGAGGUGUUGUCUGCCCGGUGGAAUCCCUUAACGGCGGCCUUAGCGUGAGGGUCUUAAGGUAGCAUAUAGUGUUCUGGUUAAUUACCAGGUGGUAUGAAUGGGAGUACGAGAGGGGAACUGUCUCAGUUUAGUUUCAGUGAAAUUACCAUGGAGGUGAAAAGGCCUUCAUAGAAUAAAUAGACGAUAAGACCCCAUGAAAUUUUAGUCUUUGUCAGAGGUUCAAUAUAAAACCGGCGUUGUAACAGGCUUUGGUUGGGGCAACUCAGGAGCACACAAGCCUCCUGGAAUAUUUAUAGACCAAUAAGUGUUGAACCUCUUUUAUGCGUGGUUAUCGGAAAAAAUUACUCUGGGGAUAACAGCGUUAUCUUCCCGAAGAGGGCGUAUCGAUGGGAAGGUUUACGACCUCGAUGUUGAAUGUGGCUAUCCUUAGGCUAGUAGGGGGUCUAGAGGGUUGGACUGUUCGUCCAUAAAAAGCCAACCUGAUUUGAGUUAAGAACGGCGCGAGCUAGUUCGGUUUCUAUCUUUUAUUUAAAUUAAUAUUGUCAGUUUUUGUACGUAAGGACUUUAAAGACUAACAUUGUUGUUGUGGUGUGACGGAAUGUAAAGGGAAAGGGUUAUAAAAGGUUAGUGAGUGAAGUGGCAUGACAGUC
This 1363-nucleotide ribosomal RNA is filed under the name Anadara vellicata. RNAcentral describes it as "16S ribosomal RNA". It matches the Rfam family "Bacterial large subunit ribosomal RNA", at positions 417 to 2925 of the family's 2925-position model. The record is from RNAcentral. Lineage: Eukaryota; Metazoa; Mollusca; Bivalvia; Arcoida; Arcidae.